RNAcentral lists this ribosomal RNA (819 nucleotides) under uncultured eukaryote. Its description in RNAcentral is "SSU rRNA". It matches the Rfam family "Eukaryotic small subunit ribosomal RNA", at positions 629 to 1426 of the family's 1831-position model. The record is from RNAcentral.
CGGUGUUUAACUGGCGUGAUGUGGGACGUCCUACCGGUGGGCUUAGCCUCGCGAGGGGCGGCCCAACUAAUAUCCCGUCGCGGUGCUCUUUACUGAGUGUCGAGUCGGGCCGGUACGUUUACUUUGAACAAAUUAGAGUGCUUAAAGCAGGCUAUCCUCGCCUGAAUACUGCGUGCAUGGAAUAAUGGAAUAGGACCUCGGUUCUAUUUUGUUGGUUUUCGGAACCCCGAGGUAAUGAUUAAUAGGGACAGAUGGGGGCAUUCGUAUUGCGACGUUAGAGGUGAAAUUCUUGGAUCGUCGCAAGACGGACAGAAGCGAAAGCAUUUGCCAAAAAUGUUUUCAUUAAUCAAGAACGAAAGUUAGAGGUUCGAAGGCGAUCAGAUACCGCCCUAGUUCUAACCAUAAACGAUGCCAGCUAGCGAUCCGCCGAAGUUCCUCCGAUGACUCGGCGGGCAGCUUCCGGGAAACCAAAGCUUUUGGGUUCCGGGGGAAGUAUGGUUGCAAAGCUGAAACUUAAAGGAAUUGACGGAAGGGCACCACCAGGAGUGGAGCGCGCGGCUUAAUUUGACUCAACACGGGAAACCUCACCAGGCCCAGACACCGGAAGGAUUGACAGAUUGAUAGCUCUUUCUUGAUUCGGUGGGUGGUGGUGCAUGGCCGUUCUUAGUUGGUGGAGCGAUUUGUCUGGUUAAUUCUGAUAACGAACGAGACUCUAGCCUGCUAAAUAGGCGUACCUUAUGGUAUCGCGAAGGCCCCCGGCUUCGGCCGGUGGGUUUUUACUACCAACGUACAAACAAAUCUUUUUAGGGGGACAGGCGG